Non-coding RNA from Aspergillus luchuensis, 408 nucleotides. The record is from Rfam. NCBI's taxonomy places the organism in Eukaryota, Fungi, Ascomycota, Eurotiomycetes, Eurotiales, Aspergillaceae.
CCUCGGCUCUGAUUUCUCCUCCCGGGGAGAAAUCACCCGAAACCCCCUUGCAAAUGAGAAAUUCGGAGGAAUCUUCACCCUAUGCACCCGCCAUUUGGAAAAUGAAAUCAUUUUUCAAAUGGCCGGUACUGCCCUCAAGGGCCUGGUGUGACAUCCUUGCACACACCUGCAAUCGGCAUCAGAAACAUCGGGGGGAGGAAGGGAAGGGAUGUAAGGGUUCGCUCUUGCAUUCCUUUUCCCUUUCUCUUUUUCCCCAUGGGAGAGUCGUUGCGAAGAUUGUGUGUGCACUCGGCAACUUUUGACCGGGUGUGCGACACUUUAGUGCAAUACGCAGCAUGCCGUUUCCUGUUCUCCCCUCGCUGGGAGGAUGGGAUUGGUAUCAUUCGAUUCCGAUUAUUCUGGUGGGGG